GACGAACGCUGGCGGCGUGCUUAACACAUGCAAGUCGAACGGAAAGGCCCUGCUUUUGUGGGGUGCUCGAGUGGCGAACGGGUGAGUAACACGUGAGUAACCUGCCCUUGACUUUGGUAUAACUUCAGGAAACUGGGGCUAAUACCGGAUAGGAGCUCCUGCUGCAUGGUGGGGGUUGGAAAGUUUCGGCGGUUGGGGAUGGACUCGCGGCUUAUCAGCUUGUUGGUGGGGUAGUGGCUUACCAAGGCUUUGACGGGUAGCCGGCCUGAGAGGGUGACCGGCGACAUUGGGACUGAGAUACGGCCCAGACUCCUACGGGAGGCAGCAGUGGGGAAUAUUGCACAAUGGGCGGAAGCCUGAUGCAGCAACGCCGCGUGCGGGAUGACGGCAUUCGGGUUGUAAACCGCUUUCGCCUGUGACGAAGCGUGAGUGACGGUAAUGGGUAAAGAAGCACCGGCUAACUACGUG
RNAcentral lists this ribosomal RNA (468 nucleotides) under uncultured bacterium. RNAcentral's name for it is "partial 16S ribosomal RNA". It matches the Rfam family "Bacterial small subunit ribosomal RNA", at positions 28 to 507 of the family's 1533-position model. The record is from RNAcentral.